This 346-nucleotide ribosomal RNA is filed under the name uncultured eukaryote. Its description in RNAcentral is "SSU rRNA". It matches the Rfam family "Eukaryotic small subunit ribosomal RNA", at positions 594 to 945 of the family's 1831-position model. The record is from RNAcentral.
AUAGCGUAUAUUAAAGUUGUUGCAGUUAAAAAGCUCGUAGUUGAAACUUGGGCCUGGCUGGCCGGUCCGCCUCACCGCGUGCACUGGUCCGGCCGGGUCUUUCCUCCUGGCUAGCCCCAUGCCCUUCACUGGGUGUGUGGGGGAACCAGGACUUUUACUUUGAAAAAAUUAGAGUGUUCAAAGCAGGCAUAUGCCCGAAUACAUUAGCAUGGAAUAAUAAAAUAGGACGUGUGGUUCUAUUUUGUUGGUUUCUAGAGCCGCCGUAAUGAUUAAUAGGGAUAGUCGGGGGCAUCAGUAUUCAAUUGUCAGAGGUGAAAUUCUUGGAUUUAUUGAAGACUAACUACUG